This 662-nucleotide unclassified non-coding RNA is filed under the name Zea mays. RNAcentral's name for it is "misc RNA Zm00001eb329000". Lineage: Eukaryota; Viridiplantae; Streptophyta; Magnoliopsida; Poales; Poaceae. The record is from RNAcentral.
CUCCGGCUCGCCGCCCUCGGGAAUGGACACCUCGUUGGGCUUGACCGAGCCGUGCCGCCGCGCGAGGAGAGCGCGGAUGUGCUUGGCAGGCGACGGCGGCGGGAACGGGCGCUUGAGCCCGCCGCGCGCCGGGGUGGACGAGACGCUCGAGUUUGCCGGCGAGCCCUUGUAGCUGGACGGCGGGAGCGGGCUCGGCAGGUAGAACGGGAACUUGGGCUGUUUCGGCGUGCCUGGCUUCGCCGCGGGCGCCGCCGCCGACGGCGAGGUCGCCCCGUCCCCGCCGUCGCCCGCGCCGGAGGCUACGUGGGGAUCCUCCUCAGCCUCGGCCUCCGGGAUUUGCGUCGGCUUGCCAUGGCAGAGCCCCAUGGACCGGAUCAAGAGCUGGAGGAGGGGUCUAGCUCAACGACGCCCAACGGCCCAAUUGAAGCAAAAUUUCCUUCCUCCAAGAAACCAGGCAGCGGUGGGUCACAGCGGCAUCUUGAAUUCAGCUGGAGCUGCCCGAGAAAUCGACCAGAACCGGUCGCAAGGGACCCCCCCACGGCCUCCAAAUUCUUUCCUUGGACUUGUAGGGGAGCAACAAGAGCCGCGCCAAUACCAGAAAAGCAAGGAACCGCCUUGAGGCGAAGAUCUCGCCCGAAAACUUGGAACCCCAAGAAGAGAGA